GUUCUCUUCAGCAUAACCUACAAUAGAAGAUUAGUAUGGCCCCCCCACAAAGUUGAUUUGCAAAUUCCUGAAGUGUUCCAUAUUUUU
Molecule: small nuclear RNA, 87 nt
Filed under: Cavia porcellus (domestic guinea pig)
Lineage: Eukaryota; Metazoa; Chordata; Mammalia; Rodentia; Caviidae
Source: RNAcentral